GAUGAUUAAUGGCUCCCCAUGCUCCAGUCCGCCUUUCAGUGUGAAUCCCCAUGGAGCGCCUCCUUGAAGCAGUGCUUCCAGUCAAAUACAAAACCCACUCAGGCAAUCACAGAACAACGAAGUUGGAAACUAAACUCCCCAGAAGCCCACCACAAGUCAUCCCUGAAUACAUGAAACAAGAAGAGUCUGAGAUGGAAGAAUAUUCUUCAGAGCUGGAGUCCAAGGUGAUGGGUGAAAAAUGUUUCCCAUCAACAUUUCAGCAUGAUGCUUCUCCUUCAGAGUCAUGACGUUUUACUGGGGUUUCAGCACUGUGCUUUCCCCAUGCCCAGGUAUUCUGGGCAUGAUAGCUUUGUAAAGACUUCUUUUCCUGUCUUCGGUAUAUGAAACUCGUGUUUUAAAGAUGUGGGGGAGAAAAAAAGGAAAAAAAAAGUUUAUACAUUUAAAAGCUCCUGGCUAGCAAAUUGCCAAAAUCCAAACGAAUGCUUCAUUUGUGAUUGAUUAUCAGUCUUUUCUUCCUUUCUGCAUGCAAUUUACCAUUACAAUGGCCUUUUUGCCUCAGCCCACUGCACUAAAAGAAUGAAAGCGUC
Non-coding RNA from Phalacrocorax carbo (great cormorant), 587 nucleotides. Lineage: Eukaryota; Metazoa; Chordata; Aves; Suliformes; Phalacrocoracidae. The record is from RefSeq and is a predicted model, not a curated record.